This 497-nucleotide ribosomal RNA is filed under the name uncultured bacterium. Its description in RNAcentral is "partial 16S ribosomal RNA". It matches the Rfam family "Bacterial small subunit ribosomal RNA", at positions 28 to 507 of the family's 1533-position model. The record is from RNAcentral.
GAUGAACGCUGGCGGCGUGCCUAAUACAUGCAAGUCGAGCGAACAGAUGAGGAGCUUGCUCCUCUGACGUUAGCGGCGGACGGGUGAGUAACACGUGGAUAACCUACCUAUAAGACUGGGAUAACUUCGGGAAACCGGAGCUAAUACCGGAUAAUAUAUUGAACCGCAUGGUUCAAUAGUGAAAGACGGUUUUGCUGUCACUUAUAGAUGGAUCGGUGCCGCAUUAGCUAGUUGGUAAGGUAACGGCUUACCAAGGCGAGGAUGCGUAGCCGAGCUGAGAGGGUGCACGGCCACACUGGAACUGCGACACGGUCCAGACUCCUACGGGAGGCAGCAGCAGGGAAUGUGCCGCAAUGGGCGAAAUCUUGACGGAGCAACGCCGCGUCAGUGAUGAAGGUCUUCGGAUCGUACAACUCUGCUGUUAGGGAAGAACAAAUGUGUAAGGAACUACGCACUUCUUGACGGUACCUAACCAGAAAGCCACGGCUAACUACGUG